RNAcentral lists this ribosomal RNA (477 nucleotides) under uncultured bacterium. Its description in RNAcentral is "partial 16S ribosomal RNA". It matches the Rfam family "Bacterial small subunit ribosomal RNA", at positions 28 to 507 of the family's 1533-position model. The record is from RNAcentral.
GAUGAACGCUGGCGGCGUGCCUAAUACAUGCAAGUCGAGCGAACGGACGAGACGCUUGCUUCUCUGAUGUUAGCGGCGGACGGGUGAGUAACACGUGGAUAACCUACCUAUAAGACUGGGAAAACUUCGGGAAACCGGAGCUAAUACCGGAUAAUAUUUUGAACCGCAUGGGUGAAAAGUGAAAGACGGUCGUGCCGGCGGUUGUAGAUGGAUCCGCGCUGCAUUAGCUUGUUGGUAAGGUAGCAGCUUACCAAGGCUAUGACGGGUAGCCGGCCUGAGAGGGGGACCGGCCACAUUGGGACUGAGAUACGGCCCAGACUCCUACGGGAGGCAGCAGUGGGGAAUAUUGCACAAUGGGCGGAAGCCUGAUGCAGCAACGCCGCGUGCGGGAUGACGGCCUUCGGGUUGUAAACCGCUUUCGCCUGUGACGAAGCGUGAGUGACGGUAAUGGGUAAAGAAGCACCGGCUAACUACGUG